AUGGAAAGAAGGAAAGAUAUUCAAGGAAUAUUCUGGAGAUACAGAGAAAGUGUGGUGAGCUCAGCAGUAUCAGUGGCUGCGACCCGCACCACUUCGUUCAAGGGCACGAGCCCCAGAUCCAAGUACAUGAAGCUGAACGUGGGCGGAGCCCUGUACUACACCACCAUGCAGACACUGACCAAGCAGGACACUAGGCUGAAGGCCGUGUUCAGCAGGUGCAUAGAGAUGCUCACGGACAGUGAAGGCUGGAUCCUCAUUGACCAGUGUGGGAAGCUCUAUGGUACGAUACUCAAUUACCUUUGUGACGGGGCGGUCCCCUUGCCUGAGAGCCACCGGGAGAUUGAGGAGCUGCAGGAAGAAGCCAAGUACUACCUGGUCCAGGGCCUGGUGGAAGAGUUCCAGGCAGCCCUGCAAAACAAAGAUACUUAUGAGCCUUUCUGCAGAGUUCCUAUUAUCACCUCAUCCAAGGAAGAACAGAAACUUAUAGUGACUUCAAGUAAGCCAGCCGUGAAGUUGCCCUACAACAGAAGUAACAACAAAUACUCGUAUACCAGCAAUUCUGACGACAAUAUGUUGAAGAACAUCGAACUGUUUGAUAAACUGUCUCUGUGCUUUGAUGGAAGGGUCCUGUUCAUAAAGGAUGUCAUUGGGGAUGAAAUCUGCUGCUGGUCCUUCUACAGCCAGGGCCACAGGAUCGCUGAAGUCUGCUGUACCUCUAUCGUCUACACCACGGAGAAGAAACAGACCAAGGUGGAGUUCCCCGAAGCCCGGAUCUAUGAGACCCUGAAUAUUUUGCUUUAUGAGGCCCAGGAUGACCGGGGACCUGACAGCGCGCUUCUGGAGGCCACAGGUGGGGUGGCCGGUUGCUCCCACCACCUGGACGAGGAUGACGAGCGGGAGCGGAUCUACAUUCCCCAGAUCUGUUGAAGGGGCAGGCCUGUUGUCCCUUCAGCUGAUCUGUGGUCUGGUGUUUGUUGGGACCCCGCAGGGCCUGACCAAGGGCAAAGCUGCCCCUUCUGCUGCCCUCCUUGUUGACCCACUCCAUCCUGGGAAGGCUGCCUGGCCUGCUCACAGGCAUAGUGCACAAACCACUGCCCGGUGGGCUCCAUUCCUUCCUCCUCGGCCUUCUGCCCCGUUAAGCGGGGCUUACUGCCCCCAGCGGAUGCCCUGCCCUUUGCUUAGAAGAAAUUAAACACGGCCCCAGACUCUGUUCUGGCGUUCAGACAGGACCACCGCUCACACCAGCAGCCUCAGGAUGGCUCGCCUGCUGUCAAUGUAGCUGUCACCUGGAGAUCCCUUCCUGUCUCUGCCUCUGAUUCUUACACAGUGUGGAGCGGCCUUCAGCGAGUAGACCAAGAGGACAUGCAGAUCCCUUUGGGUCCAGUCAGUGUGUGUGUUCAUGUUAGUUUAAGGGACGCGUGCGACUGUGGAUGAGGAUGUGUGCCCGUGGGGCCUGGGUGGCCCGCACUGGAUCCCUGCUGUCUGCACGGCGCUUGUGUGGGACGGACGUUCUCGGUUACCUACCUCCCUGUCUCCUCUGUGUCCAUGACGCACAGGGGGAGUGGUGACGAAUGUGGGUGGUUGAGACUAGGCUGGUAGAGUAGUUCCAAGGAGAUUCGGUUGUGUGUUAAAGUAUGGAUGGGCUUUUUUUUUAAAUAUAAAUUUAUUUGUUCAUUUUUGGCUGU
This is a non-coding RNA of Delphinapterus leucas (beluga whale), 1685 nucleotides long. Lineage: Eukaryota; Metazoa; Chordata; Mammalia; Artiodactyla; Monodontidae. The record is from RefSeq and is a predicted model, not a curated record.